This 757-nucleotide ribosomal RNA is filed under the name uncultured Gammaproteobacteria bacterium. RNAcentral describes it as "bacterial SSU rRNA". It matches the Rfam family "Bacterial small subunit ribosomal RNA", at positions 57 to 806 of the family's 1533-position model. Lineage: Bacteria; Pseudomonadati; Pseudomonadota; Gammaproteobacteria. The record is from RNAcentral.
GCAGUCGAACGGUAACGCGAGGAGCUUGCUCCUUGGCGACGAGUGGCGGACGGGUGAGUAAUGCUUAGGAAUCUGCCCAGUAGUGGGGGACAACACGGGGAAACUCGUGCUAAUACCGUAUACGUCCUACGGGAGAAAGUGGGGGCUCUUCGGACCUCACGCUAUUGGAUGAGCCUAAGUCGGAUUAGCUUGUUGGUGGGGUAAAGGCCCACCAAGGCGACGAUCCGUAGCUGGUCUGAGAGGACGAUCAGCCACACUGGGACUGAGACACGGCCCAGACUCCUACGGGAGGCAGCAGUGGGGAAUAUUGGACAAUGGGGGCAACCCUGAUCCAGCAAUGCCGCGUGUGUGAAGAAGGCCUGCGGGUUGUAAAGCACUUUCAGUAGAGAAGAAAAGCUCAGGGUUAAUACCCCUGAGUCUUGACGUAACCUACAGAAGAAGCACCGGCUAACUCCGUGCCAGCAGCCGCGGUAAUACGGAGGGUGCGAGCGUUAAUCGGAAUUACUGGGCGUAAAGCGCGCGUAGGCGGUUGGAUUAGUCGGAUGUGAAAGCCCAGGGCUUAACCUUGGAAUUGCAUUCGAUACUGUCCAGCUAGAGUAUGGGAGAGGGAAGCGGAAUUUCCGGUGUAGCGGUGAAAUGCGUAGAUAUCGGAAGGAACACCAGUGGCGAAGGCGGCUUCCUGGACCAAUACUGACGCUGAGGUGCGAAAGCGUGGGGAGCGAACAGGAUUAGAUACCCUGGUAGUCCACGCCGUAAA